RNAcentral lists this ribosomal RNA (501 nucleotides) under uncultured bacterium. RNAcentral's name for it is "partial 16S ribosomal RNA". It matches the Rfam family "Bacterial small subunit ribosomal RNA", at positions 30 to 523 of the family's 1533-position model. The record is from RNAcentral.
AUUGAACGCUGGCGGCAGGCUUAACACAUGCAAGUCGAGCGGAGAGAGGUAGCUUGCUACUGAUCUUAGCGGCGGACGGGUGAGUAAUGCUUAGGAAUCUGCCUAUUAGUGGGGGACAACAUUUCGAAAGGAAUGCUAAUACCGCAUACGUCCUACGGGAGAAAGCAGGGGAUCUUCGGACCUUGCGCUAAUAGAUGAGCCUAAGUCGGAUUAGCUAGUUGGUGGGGUAAAGGCCUACCAAGGCGACGAUCUGUAGCGGGUCUGAGAGGAUGAUCCGCCACACUGGGACUGGGACACGGCCCAGACUCCUACGGAAGGCAGCAGUGGGGAAUAUUGGACAAUGGGCGGAAGCCUGAUCCAGCCAUGCCGCGUGUGUGAAGAAGGCCUUAUGGUUGUAAAGCACUUUAAGCGAGGAGGAGGCUACUUUAGUUAAUACCUAGAGAUAGUGGACGUUACUCGCAGAAUAAGCACCGGCUAACUCUGUGCCAGCAGCCGCGGUAA